UAAGGAAUCUUCCACAAUGGGGGCAACCCUGAUGGAGCAAUACCGCGUUCAGGAUGAAGCGUUUCGGCGUGUAAACUGCUUUUAUCACCGAAGAUUAUGACUGUAGGUGAAGAAUAAGGACCGGCUAACUACGUGCCAGCAGCCGCGGUAAUACGUAGGGUCCAAGCGUUAUCCGGAAUUACUGGGCGUAAAGCGUCUGUAGGCGGCUUAAUAAGUCGAGUGCGAAAUCUUGCGGCCCAACCGUAUAGACUG
RNAcentral lists this ribosomal RNA (252 nucleotides) under uncultured organism. Its description in RNAcentral is "partial 16S ribosomal RNA". It matches the Rfam family "Bacterial small subunit ribosomal RNA", at positions 355 to 623 of the family's 1533-position model. The record is from RNAcentral.